GCCCCAUGGGGCGCAGCAGGCGAGAAAACUUUGCAAUGUGCGAAAGCACGACAAGGUUAAUCCGAGUGGUUUCUGCUAAAGGAACCUUUUGUCGGUCCUAGAAACACCGAUGAAUAAGGGGUGGGCAAGUUCUGGUGUCAGCCGCCGCGGUAAAACCAGCACCUCAAGUGGUCAGGAUGAUUAUUGGGCCUAAAGCAUCCGUAGCCGGCUCUGUAAGUUUUCGGUUAAAUCUGUACGCUCAACGUACAGGCUGCCGGGAAUACUGCAGAGCUAGGGAGUGGGAGAGGUAGACGGUACUCGGUAGGAAGGGGUAAAAUCCUUUGAUCUAUUGAUGACCACCUGUGGCGAAGGCGGUCUACCAGAACACGUCCGACGGUGAGGGAUGAAAGCUGGGGGAGCAAACCGGAUUAGAUACCCGGGUAGUCCCAGCUGUAAA
RNAcentral lists this ribosomal RNA (436 nucleotides) under uncultured crenarchaeote. RNAcentral describes it as "bacterial SSU rRNA". It matches the Rfam family "Archaeal small subunit ribosomal RNA", at positions 319 to 757 of the family's 1478-position model. The record is from RNAcentral. Lineage: Archaea; Thermoproteati; Thermoproteota.